RNAcentral lists this ribosomal RNA (1349 nucleotides) under uncultured bacterium. RNAcentral describes it as "bacterial SSU rRNA". It matches the Rfam family "Bacterial small subunit ribosomal RNA", at positions 28 to 1381 of the family's 1533-position model. The record is from RNAcentral.
GACGAAAGCUGGCCUUCGUGUUUAAACAUGUAAGUCGAACGGAAAGGCCCUGCUUUUGUGGGGUGCUCGAGUGGCGAACGGGUGAGUAACACGUGAGUAACCUGCCCUUGACUUUGGGAUAACUUCACGAAACUGGGGCUAAUACCGGAUAGGAGCUCCUGCUGCAUGGUGGGGGUUGGAAAGUUUCGGCGGUUGGGGAUGGACUCGCGGCUUAUCAGCUUGGUGGUGGGGUAGUGGCUUACCCAGGCUUUUGACGGGUAGCCCGCCUGAGAGGGUGACCGGCCACAUUGGGACUUACAUACCGCCCCCACUCUCUCGGGAGGCAGCAGUGGGGAAUAUUGCCCAAUGGGCGGAACCCUGAUGCCGCACCGCCCCGUGCGGGAUGACGGCCUUCGGGUUGCAAACCCCUUUCGCCUGGGACCAAUCGGGAGUGACCGUAAUGGGUAAAGAAGCCCCGGCUAUUUACGUCCCAACAGGCGCGGUGAUACUUAGGGUGCAACCUUGUUCCGAUUUAUUGGGGCGAAAAGGGUUCGUAGGUGGUGAUUCGCGUCGGAAGUGUAAUCUGGGGGUUUAACCUUGAGCGGGCUUUCGAUACGGGUGACCUUGANGGAAGUAGGGAGAAAUGAAAUUCCUGUGGAAGCGUUGGAAUGCGCAGAUAUCAGGAGGAACAUCAGUGGCGAAGGCGGGUUCUCUUGGCCUUUCCCUGACGCUGAGGAGCGAAAGCGUGGGGAGCGAACAGGCUUAGAUACCCUGGUAGUCCACGCUGUAAACGGUGGGUACUAGGUGUGGGGUCCAUUCCACGGGUUCCGUGCCGUAGCUAACGCUUUAAGUACCCCGCCUGGGGAGUACGGCCGCAAGGCUAAAACUCAAAGGAAUUGACGGGGCCCCGCACAAGCGGCGGAGCAUGCGGAUUAAUUCGAUGCAACGCGUAGAACCUUACCUGGGUUUGACAUGGAUCGGGAGUGCUCAGAGAUGGGUGUGCCUCUUUUGGGGUCGGUUCACAGGUGGUGCAUGGCUGUCGUCAGCUCGUGUCGUGAGAUGUUGGGUUAAGUCCCGCAACGAGCGCAACCCUUGUUCACUGUUGCCAGCACGUUAUGGUGGGGACUCAGUGGAGACCGCCGGGGUCAACUCGGAGGAAGGUGGGGAUGACGUCAAGUCAUCAUGCCCCUUAUGUCCAGGGCUUCACGCAUGCUACAAUGGCUGGUACAGAGAGUGGCGAGCCUGUGAGGGUGAGCGAAUCUCGGAAAGCCGGUCUCAGUUCGGAUUGGGGUCUGCAACUCGACCUCAUGAAGUCGGAGUCGCUAGUAAUCGCAGAUCAGCAACGCUGCGGUGAAUACGUUCCCGGGGCU